CACGUAGGGUGCGAGCGUUGUCCGGAAUUAUUGGGCGUAAAGAGCUCGUAGGCGGUGUGUCGCGUCGGCCGUGAAAACCUGCAGCUUAACUGUGGGCUUGCGGUCGAUACGGGCAUCACUGGAGUUCGGCAGGGGAGACUGGAAUUCCUGGUGUAGCGGUGAAAUGCGCAGAUAUCAGGAGGAACACCGGUGGCGAAGGCGGGUCUCUGGGCCGAUACUGACGCUGAGGCGCGAAAGCUAGGGGAGCAAACAGG
RNAcentral lists this ribosomal RNA (254 nucleotides) under uncultured bacterium. RNAcentral describes it as "partial 16S ribosomal RNA". It matches the Rfam family "Bacterial small subunit ribosomal RNA", at positions 524 to 776 of the family's 1533-position model. The record is from RNAcentral.